AGUCAUAUGCUUGUCUCAAAGAUUAAGCCAUGCAUGUCUCAGUACAAGCCAAAUUAAGGUGAAACCGCGAAAGGCUCAUUAAAUCAGUUAUGGUUCCUUAGAUUGUACCCACAUUUACUUGGAUAACUGUGGUAAUUCUAGAGCUAAUACAUGCAAACAGAGCUCCAACCAGAGAUGGAAGGAGUGCUUUUAUUAGAUCAAAACCAAUCGGCGACAUAUGGCUUUACGGCUUUAUUGUUCGUCGCAUUAUUUGGUGAUUCUGAAUAACUUUUGGCUGAUCGCACGGUCUUGCACCGGCGACGCAUCUUUCAAAUGUCUGCCUUAUCAACUGUCGAUGGUAGGUUCUGCGCCUACCAUGGUUGUAACGGGUAACGGGGAAUCAGGGUUCGAUUCCGGAGAGGGAGCCUGAGAAACGGCUACCACAUCCAAGGAAGGCAGCAGGCGCGCAAAUUACCCAUUCCCGGCACGGGGAGGUAGUGACGAAAAAUAACGAUACGGGACUCAUCCGAGGCCCCGUAAUCGGAAUGAGUACACUUUAAAUCCUUUAACAAGGACCAAUUGGAGGGCAAGUCUGGUGCCAGCAGCCGCGGUAAUUCCAGCUCCAAUAGCGUAUAUUAAAGUUGUUG
This 626-nucleotide ribosomal RNA is filed under the name Trechobembix baldiensis. RNAcentral's name for it is "SSU rRNA". It matches the Rfam family "Eukaryotic small subunit ribosomal RNA", at positions 21 to 615 of the family's 1831-position model. Lineage: Eukaryota; Metazoa; Arthropoda; Insecta; Coleoptera; Carabidae. The record is from RNAcentral.